UACGUAGGCAGCGAGCGUUGUUCGGAGUUACUGGGCGUAAAGGGUGUGUAGGCGGUUUUUUAAGUUUGGUGUGAAAUCUCCCGGCUCAACCGGGAGGGUGCGCCGAAUACUGAAUGACUUGGAGUGCGGGAGAGGUGAGUGGAAUUCCUGGUGUAGCGGUGAAAUGCGUAGAUAUCAGGAGGAACACCGGUGGUGUAGACGGCUCACUGGACCGUAACUGACGCUGAGACACGAAAGCGUGGGUAGCAAACAGG
Molecule: ribosomal RNA, 254 nt
Filed under: uncultured bacterium
Lineage: Bacteria
Description: partial 16S ribosomal RNA
Rfam family: Bacterial small subunit ribosomal RNA
Source: RNAcentral